Molecule: ribosomal RNA, 709 nt
Filed under: uncultured soil bacterium
Lineage: Bacteria
Description: bacterial SSU rRNA
Rfam family: Bacterial small subunit ribosomal RNA
Source: RNAcentral
AUGAACGCUAGCGGCAGGCUUAACACAUGCAAGUCGAGGGGUAUAGUUCUUCGGAACUAGAGACCGGCGCACGGGUGCGUAACGCGUAUGCAAUCUACCUUUUACAGAGGGAUAGCCCAGAGAAAUUUGGAUUAAUACCUCAUAGUAUAGCGACAUCGCAUGAUGAUGCUAUUAAAGUCACAACGGUAAAAGAUGAGCAUGCGUCCCAUUAGCUAGUUGGUAAGGUAACGGCUUACCAAGGCUACGAUGGGUAGGGGUCCUGAGAGGGAGAUCCCCCACACUGGUACUGAGACACGGACCAGACUCCUACGGGAGGCAGCAGUGAGGAAUAUUGGACAAUGGGCGCAAGCCUGAUCCAGCCAUGCCGCGUGCAGGAUGACGGUCCUAUGGAUUGUAAACUGCUUUUAUACGAGAAGAAACACUGAUUCGUGAAUCAGCUUGACGGUAUCGUAAGAAUAAGGAUCGGCUAACUCCGUGCCAGCAGCCGCGGUAAUACGGAGGAUCCAAGCGUUAUCCGGAAUCAUUGGGUUUAAAGGGUCCGUAGGCGGUUUAGUAAGUCAGUGGUGAAAGCCCAUCGCUCAACGGUGGAACGGCCAUUGAUACUGCUGAACUUGAAUUAUUAGGAAGUAACUAGAAUAUGUAGUGUAGCGGUGAAAUGCUUAGAGAUUACAUGGAAUACCAAUUGCGAAGGCAGGUUACUACUAAUGGA